UAGUUGGAUCCUGGCUCAGGAUAAACGCUGGCGGCGUGCAUUAUGCAUGCAAGUCGAACGGCUUUGAUUUUAUCAAAGCAGUGGCAAACGGGUGAGUAACACGUAAGUAACCUGCCCCUAAGUGGGGAAUAGCCUCGGGAAACCGAGGAUAAUACCGCAUGUUGUGGUGGAGGUAAUGCUUCAUCACCAAAGCCUUCGGGCGCUUGGGGAGGGGCUUGCGACUGAUUAGCUAGUUGGUAGGGUAAUGGCUUACCAAGGUUACGAUCGGUAGCUGGUCUGAGAGGAUGGUCAGCCACACUGGGACUGAGACACGGCCCAGACUCCUACGGGAGGCAGCAGCAAGGAAUUUUGUGCAAUGGGCGAAAGCCUGACACAGCAACGCCGCGUGGGGGAUGAAGGCCUUCGGGUUGUAAACCCCUUUUCUCAGGGAAGAAAAAAAUGACGGUACCUGAGGAAUAAGCCUUGGCUAACUACGUGCCAGCAGCCGCGGUAAUACGUAGAAGGCGAGCGUUAUUCGGAUUUACUGGGCGUAAAGAGGGCGUAGGCGGCCUUUCAAGUCGGAUGUGAAAUCUCCCGGCUUAACCGGGAGGGGUCAUCCGAUACUGCUGGGCUUGAGGACAGCAAGGGGAGGUGGAAUUCCCGGUGUAGUGGUGAUAUGCGUAGAUAUCGGGAGGAACACCAGUGGCGAAGGCGGCCUCCUGGGCUGUUUCUGACGCUGAGGCCCGAAAGUGUGGGUAGCGAACAGAAUUAGAUACUCUGGUAGUCCACACUGUAAACGAUGGAUACUAGGUAUGGGGAGUAUCGACCCUCUCUGUAUCGAAGCUAACGCUUUAAGUAUCCCGCCUGGGGACUACGGCCGCAAGGCUAAAACUCAAAGGAAUUGACGGGGGCCCGCACAAGCAGCGGAGCGUGUGGUUUAAUUCGAUGCAACGCGAAGAACCUUACCAAGACUUGACAUGUCGGAAGUAGCGACCCGAAAGGGAAGCCACCUGUUAAGUCAGGCGCCGUCACAGGUGCUGCAUGGCUGUCGUCAGCUCGUGCCGUGAGGUGUUCGGUUAAGUCCUGCAACGAGCGCAACCCUCGUCGCUAGUUGAUUUCUCUAACGAGACUGCCCCGUAAAACGGGGAGGAAGGUGGGGAUGACGUCAAGUCAGCAUGGCCCUUAUGUCUUGGGCUACGCACACGCUACAAUGGGUGGUACAACAGGUUGCGACAGAGCGAUCUGGAGCCAAUCCCUAAAGCCAUCCUCAGUUCGGAUUGCAGGCUGAAAUUCGCCUGCAUGAAGCUGGAGUUGCUAGUAACCGCGGGUCAGCAUACUGCGGUGAAUACGUUCUCGGGCCUUGUACACACCGCCCGUCACGUCAUGAAAGUUGGCAACACCUGAAGUCGAUGGGCUAACCAGGUUUAUCCAGGGGAGCAGUCGCCGAAGGUGGGGCUGACGAUUGGGACGAAGUCGUAACAAGGUAACC
Molecule: ribosomal RNA, 1468 nt
Filed under: uncultured bacterium
Lineage: Bacteria
Description: bacterial SSU rRNA
Rfam family: Bacterial small subunit ribosomal RNA
Source: RNAcentral